AUUGAACGCUGGCGGCAUGCUUUACACAUGCAAGUCGAACGGUAACAGGCCGCAAGGUGCUGACGAGUGGCGAACGGGUGAGUAAUGCAUCGGGACGUGCCCAGUCGUGGGGGAUAACUACUCGAAAGAGUAGCUAAUACCGCAUACGAUCUAUGGAUGAAAGCGGGGGACCGUAAGGCCUCGCGCGAUUGGAGCGGCCGAUGUCAGAUUAGGUAGUUGGUGGGGUAAAGGCUCACCAAGCCAACGAUCUGUAGCUGGUCUGAGAGGACGACCAGCCACACUGGGACUGAGACACGGCCCAGACUCCUACGGGAGGCAGCAGUGGGGAAUUUUGGACAAUGGGCGCAAGCCUGAUCCAGCAAUGCCGCGUGCAGGAAGAAGGCCUUCGGGUUGUAAACUGCUUUUGUACGGAACGAAACGGCUCUGGUUAAUACCCGGGGCUAAUGACGGUACCGUAAGAAUAAGCACCGGCUAACUACGUG
This 482-nucleotide ribosomal RNA is filed under the name uncultured bacterium. RNAcentral's name for it is "partial 16S ribosomal RNA". It matches the Rfam family "Bacterial small subunit ribosomal RNA", at positions 30 to 507 of the family's 1533-position model. The record is from RNAcentral.